CCUGUUCGAGCGUCAUUACACCACUCAAGCUAUGCUUGGUAUUGGGUGCCGUCCUUAGUUGGGCGCGCCUUAAAGACCUCGGCGAGGCCUCACCGGCUUUAGGCGUAGUAGAAUUUAUUCGAACGUCUGUCAAAGGAGAGGACUUCUGCCGACUGAAACCUUUUAUUUUUCUAGGUUGACCUCGGAUCAGGUAGGGAUACCCGCUGAACUUAAGCAUAUCAAUAAGCGGAGGAAAAGAAACCAACAGGGAUUGCCCUAGUAACGGCGAGUGAAGCGGCAACAGCUCAAAUUUGAAAGCUGGCCUUCGGGUCCGCAUUGUAAUUUGUAGAGGAUGCUUUGGGUGAAACGCCAGUCUAAGUUCCUUGGAACAGGACGUCAUAGAGGGUGAGAAUCCCGUAUGUGACUGGAAAUGUUAACCUAUGUAAAGCUCCUUCGACGAGUCGAGUUGUUUGGGAAUGCAGCUCUAAAUGGGAGGUAAAUUUCUUCUAAAGCUAAAUAUUGGCGAGAGACCGAUAGCGCACAAGUAGAGUGAUCGAAAGAUGAAAAGCACUUUGGAAAGAGAGUUAAAAAGCACGUGAAAUUGUUGAAAGGGAAGCGCUUGCAAUCAGACUUGUUUAAACUGUUCGGCCGGUCUUCUGACCGGUUUACUCAGUUUGGACAGGCCAGCAUCAGUUUCGGCGGCCGGAUAAAGGCUCUGGGAAUGUGGCCUUCACUUCGGUGAAGGUGUUAUAGCCCGGGGUGUAAUACGGCCAGCCGGGACUGAGGUCCGCGC
RNAcentral lists this ribosomal RNA (772 nucleotides) under Aureobasidium pullulans. RNAcentral describes it as "eukaryotic LSU rRNA". The stretch from base 177 to 772 matches the Rfam family "Eukaryotic large subunit ribosomal RNA", at positions 1 to 605 of the family's 3401-position model. Lineage: Eukaryota; Fungi; Ascomycota; Dothideomycetes; Dothideales; Saccotheciaceae. The record is from RNAcentral.